AAGUCGUAACAAGGUUUCCGUAGGUGAACCUGCGGAAGGAUCAUUAACACGUAUCCAUCGUUAAACCCCCCCCCGUGAAUAUUAAUCGUGCUCUUGCAUCCUCCCAAUCAGCAAUCUCUGGUAAAUCACGUCGAACGGUUUGAUUCAGAGACCUCUGCGCUGUGGAUGUCUGCUGACGCUAAAGGUCCAAUCGAGCGCUAGGAUCAGUGGUUUGGUUUCCCCUCACGAGCCGGCGUCCAAAUCACCGGGCGCCCCCCUAAAACCACAUGUCAGCGUAGGCCCUUCUGUCGUGGUUGGGCGUAAAAACGAACAACUGUUAACAAUGGAUAUCUUGGUUCUC
Molecule: unclassified non-coding RNA, 340 nt
Filed under: fungal sp.
Lineage: Eukaryota; Fungi
Description: partial internal transcribed spacer region
Rfam family: Eukaryotic small subunit ribosomal RNA (bases 1-46)
Source: RNAcentral